CCUACGGGCGGCAGCAGUGAGGAAUAUUGGUCAAUGGGCGCGAGCCUGAACCAGCCAAGUAGCGUGAAGGAUGACUGCCCUACGGGUUGUAAACUUCUUUUAUAAAGGAAUAAAGUGAGGCACGUGUGCCUUUUUGUAGGUACUUUAUGAAUAAGGAUCGGCUAAUUCCGUGCCAGCAGCCGCGGUAAUACGGAGGAUCCGAGCGUUAUCCGGAUUUAUUGGGUUUAAAGGGAGCGUAGAUGGGUUGUUAAGUCAGUUGUGAAAGGUCGGGGCUCAACCGUAAAAUUGCGAGUGAUACUGGCAGCCUUGAGUACAGUUAAGGUAGGCGGAAUUCGUGGUGUAGCGGUGAAAUGCUUAGAUAUCACGAAGAACUCCGAUUGCGAAGGCAGCAUACUAAACUGCCACUGACAUUGAUGCUCGAAGGUGUGGGUAUCGAACAGGAUUAGAUACCCGGGUAGUC
RNAcentral lists this ribosomal RNA (460 nucleotides) under uncultured bacterium. RNAcentral's name for it is "partial 16S ribosomal RNA". It matches the Rfam family "Bacterial small subunit ribosomal RNA", at positions 338 to 795 of the family's 1533-position model. The record is from RNAcentral.